This 406-nucleotide ribosomal RNA is filed under the name uncultured Flavobacterium sp. RNAcentral's name for it is "bacterial SSU rRNA". It matches the Rfam family "Bacterial small subunit ribosomal RNA", at positions 504 to 913 of the family's 1533-position model. Lineage: Bacteria; Pseudomonadati; Bacteroidota; Flavobacteriia; Flavobacteriales; Flavobacteriaceae. The record is from RNAcentral.
UGUGCCAGCAGCCGCGGUAAUACGGAGGGUGCAAGCGUUAUCCGGAUUCACUGGGUUUAAAGGGUGCGUAGGUGGGUUGGUAAGUCAGUGGUGAAAUCUCCGAGCUUAACUUGGAAACUGCCAUUGAUACUAUUAAUCUUGAAUAUUGUGGAGGUCAGCGGAAUAUGUCAUGUAGCGGUGAAAUGCUUAGAGAUGACAUAGAACACCAAUUGCGAAGGCAGCUGGCUACGCAUAUAUUGACACUGAGGCACGAAAGCGUGGGGAUCAAACAGGAUUAGAUACCCUGGUAGUCCACGCCCUAAACUAUGGAUACUCGACAUACGCGAUACACUGUGUGUGUCUGAGCGAAAGCAUUAAGUUUCCCCCUGGGAAGUACGAUCGCAAGAUUGAAACUUAGGGCCUCCUG